RNAcentral lists this ribosomal RNA (206 nucleotides) under uncultured bacterium. Its description in RNAcentral is "partial 16S ribosomal RNA". It matches the Rfam family "Bacterial small subunit ribosomal RNA", at positions 568 to 773 of the family's 1533-position model. The record is from RNAcentral.
CUUGUAGGUGGCCAACUAAGUCAGACGUGAAAUCCCUCGGCUUAACCGGGGAACUGCGUCUGAUACUGGAUGGCUGGAGUGUGGGAGAGGGAUGCGGAAUUCCAGGUGUAGCGGUGAAAUGCGUAGAUAUCUGGAGGAACACCGGUGGCGAAGGCGGCAUCCUGGACCAUUACUGACACUGAAAAGACGAAAGCCAGGGAGCAAAC